AGCCACAGCCAUAUCACCCUGCAGCCCAAGACUGGUUGCUCACUGAAGCUAAGCAGGGUUGAGCCUGAGCAGUACCUGGAUGGGAGACCUCUUGGGAAAACUAGGUUGCUGUUGGAA
RNAcentral lists this ribosomal RNA (117 nucleotides) under Sinocyclocheilus anshuiensis. The record is from RNAcentral. Lineage: Eukaryota; Metazoa; Chordata; Actinopteri; Cypriniformes; Cyprinidae.